UUGUGGUUGAACUGUGAUGUAUUACUGU
RNAcentral lists this small RNA (28 nucleotides) under Bombyx mori (domestic silkworm). RNAcentral's name for it is "ovarian small RNA-38161". The record is from RNAcentral. Lineage: Eukaryota; Metazoa; Arthropoda; Insecta; Lepidoptera; Bombycidae.